RNAcentral lists this transfer RNA (72 nucleotides) under Scolopsis vosmeri (whitecheek monocle bream). RNAcentral's name for it is "tRNA-Val". It matches the Rfam family "tRNA". From Rfam's summary of the family: Transfer RNA (tRNA) molecules are approximately 80 nucleotides in length. Their secondary structure includes four short double-helical elements and three loops (D, anti-codon, and T loops). Lineage: Eukaryota; Metazoa; Chordata; Actinopteri; Spariformes; Nemipteridae. The record is from RNAcentral.
CAGAGCAUAGCUAAAAGAGAAUAGUACCUCCCUUACACUGAGAUGUUGUCCGUUCAAUUCGGACUGCCCUGA